RNAcentral lists this ribosomal RNA (203 nucleotides) under uncultured bacterium. Its description in RNAcentral is "partial 16S ribosomal RNA". It matches the Rfam family "Bacterial small subunit ribosomal RNA", at positions 524 to 725 of the family's 1533-position model. The record is from RNAcentral.
UACAGAGAGGGCAAGCGUUGUCCGGAAUGACUGGGCGUAAAGCGCGCGCAGGCGGUUUCUUAAGUUGGAUGUGAAAUCCCCGGGCGUUAACCUGGAACUGCAUUCGAUACUGGGGAACGUAGAGGCCGAGAGAGGAAAGCGGAAUGACGAGUGUAGAGGUGAAAUUCGUAGAUAUUCGUCGGAACACCAGAGGCGAAGGCGGC